This 523-nucleotide ribosomal RNA is filed under the name Pseudomonas sp. C34A. RNAcentral's name for it is "bacterial SSU rRNA". It matches the Rfam family "Bacterial small subunit ribosomal RNA", at positions 8 to 526 of the family's 1533-position model. Lineage: Bacteria; Pseudomonadati; Pseudomonadota; Gammaproteobacteria; Pseudomonadales; Pseudomonadaceae. The record is from RNAcentral.
AGAGUUUGAUCCUGGCUCAGAUUGAACGCUGGCGGCAGGCCUAACACAUGCAAGUCGAGCGGAUGAAGGGAGCUUGCUCCCGGAUUCAGCGGCGGACGGGUGAGUAAUGCCUAGGAAUCUGCCUGGUAGUGGGGGACAACGUUCCGAAAGGAGCGCUAAUACCGCAUACGUCCUACGGGAGAAAGUGGGGGAUCUUCGGACCUCACGCUAUCAGAUGAGCCUAGGUCGGAUUAGCUAGUAGGUGGGGUAAUGGCUCACCUAGGCGACGAUCCGUAACUGGUCUGAGAGGAUGAUCAGUCACACUGGAACUGAGACACGGUCCAGACUCCUACGGGAGGCAGCAGUGGGGAAUAUUGGACAAUGGGCGAAAGCCUGAUCCAGCCAUGCCGCGUGUGUGAAGAAGGUCUUCGGAUUGUAAAGCACUUUAAGUUGGGAGGAAGGGCAGUAAGUUAAUACCUUGCUGUUUUGACGUUACCAACAGAAUAAGCACCGGCUAACUUCGUGCCAGCAGCCGCGGUAAUAC